This 517-nucleotide long non-coding RNA is filed under the name Brassica napus (rape). Its description in RNAcentral is "long non-coding RNA (BNAP_LNC016947)". The record is from RNAcentral. Lineage: Eukaryota; Viridiplantae; Streptophyta; Magnoliopsida; Brassicales; Brassicaceae.
UUGCGGGGUAUAUAAAAGCACAGAAACGACAUUUAUAAGAAAAUCAUUUGACAUUUGAUUAUAAACAUAUACUCGAUUGAGGUAACGAUACAAAGCCAUGACGUUUGGAUCAGGUCUGACAGAACUAGGAAUCUUACAAAAAAAAACAUAUCAUACUGUAUCUCAAGUGGAACAACUGUUUUGGCGAAUUCACAAAUUGUCAUCUUAAUACCAAUCCAACAUUGAGUUGAGUAUAAUAGAUCAAAUGUGUAUAUAUAAUUUCUUUGAGUGACAUAAUUCACAUAAGAAUUUGAGUUUAUGAUAUGAAACCCAAAAGUUCAUUUCACCUUUUUCAAAAAAAAAUAGCACAUUCAAAAAUUUGAAUGGAAAACUUUGAGGCGAUUUGACAAAUUUACUUUUUUUCUAUGGGGACCCUUAAAUCCCUUUAAUUGUCGUCGGUAUUGCCUUUUUGUUUUUCCUUUAUCCCUUUUUCAGUCCAAAAUCUUUCCUUCUAUUUUAUCUUCCUCUAGUUUUUUUG